UACAGAGGGUGCAAGCGUUGUUCGGAAUCAUUGGGCGUAAAGCGCACGUAGGCGGCAUUGCAAGUCAGGUGUGAAAGCCUGGGGCUCAACCCCAGAAGUGCACUUGAAACUGCAGUGCUUGAAUGUCGGAGAGGGCAGUGGAAUUCCGAGUGUAGAGGUGAAAUUCGUAGAUAUUCGGAGGAACACCAGUGGCGAAGGCGACUGCCUGGACGAACAUUGACGCUGAGGUGCGAAAGCGUGGGGAGCAAAC
This 250-nucleotide ribosomal RNA is filed under the name uncultured bacterium. RNAcentral describes it as "partial 16S ribosomal RNA". It matches the Rfam family "Bacterial small subunit ribosomal RNA", at positions 524 to 773 of the family's 1533-position model. The record is from RNAcentral.